CCUACGGGGGGCUGCAGUGGGGAAUAUUGGACAAUGGGCGAAAGCCUGAUCCAGCCAUGCCGCGUGUGUGAAGAAGGCCUUCGGGUUGUAAAGCACUUUCAGUGGGGAAGAAAGCCUUGGGGCUAAUACCCUCGAGGAAGGACAUCACCCACAGAAGAAGCACCGGCUAACUCCGUGCCAGCAGCCGCGGUAAUACGGAGGGUGCGAGCGUUAAUCGGAAUUACUGGGCGUAAAGCGCGCGUAGGCGGUCUGAUAAGCCGGUUGUGAAAGCCCCGGGCUCAACCUGGGAACGGCAUCCGGAACUGUCAGGCUAGAGUGCAGGAGAGGAAGGUAGAAUUCCCGGUGUAGCGGUGAAAUGCGUAGAGAUCGGGAGGAAUACCAGUGGCGAAGGCGGCCUUCUGGACUGACACUGACGCUGAGGUGCGAAAGCGGGGGUAGCAAACAGGAUUAGAUACCCUAGUAGUC
RNAcentral lists this ribosomal RNA (465 nucleotides) under Vreelandella stevensii. RNAcentral describes it as "partial 16S ribosomal RNA". It matches the Rfam family "Bacterial small subunit ribosomal RNA", at positions 338 to 795 of the family's 1533-position model. Lineage: Bacteria; Pseudomonadati; Pseudomonadota; Gammaproteobacteria; Oceanospirillales; Halomonadaceae. The record is from RNAcentral.